RNAcentral lists this ribosomal RNA (460 nucleotides) under uncultured bacterium. RNAcentral describes it as "bacterial SSU rRNA". It matches the Rfam family "Bacterial small subunit ribosomal RNA", at positions 335 to 793 of the family's 1533-position model. The record is from RNAcentral.
ACUCCUACGGGAGGCAGCAGUGAGGAAUAUUGGUCAAUGGGCGGGAGCCUGAACCAGCCAAGUCGCGUGGAGGAAGACGGUUCUAUGGAUUGUAAACUCCUUUUGCACUGGGGUAAAACGGGGGACGUGUCCCCCCUUGCAAGUACAGUGCGAAUAAGCAUCGGCUAACUCCGUGCCAGCAGCCGCGGUAAUACGGAGGAUGCGAGCGUUAUCCGGAUUUAUUGGGUUUAAAGGGUGCGUAGGCGGCCCCUUAAGUCAGCGGUAAAAUUUCUGCGCUCAACGCAGUCGUGCCGUUGAAACUGGGGGGCUUGAGUCUAGAUGAAGUGGGCGGAAUUUGUAGUGUAGCGGUGAAAUGCUUAGAUAUUACAAGGAACUCCGAUUGCGCAGGCAGCUCACUAAGCUAUCACUGACGCUGAAGCACGAAAGCGUGGGUAUCAAACAGGAUUAGAUACCCUGGUAG